GACAGAGGUGCCGAGCGUUAGGCGGAAUCACUGGGCUUAAAGCGUGUGUAGGCGGAUGCCUAAGUACCUUGUGAAAUCCCACGGCUUAACCGUGGAACUGCUUGGUAUACUGGGUGUCUUGAGCCACUUAGGGGCGACCGGAACAAACGGUGGAGCGGUGAAAUGCGUAGAUAUCGGGAGGAACACCAGUGGCGAAGGCGGCUACCUGGACCGGUUCUGACGCUGAGGCGCGAAAGCGUGGGUAGCAAACAGG
Molecule: ribosomal RNA, 253 nt
Filed under: uncultured bacterium
Lineage: Bacteria
Description: partial 16S ribosomal RNA
Rfam family: Bacterial small subunit ribosomal RNA
Source: RNAcentral